GCAGAACGGGCUCCAUUGUUGG
This 22-nucleotide non-coding RNA is filed under the name Arabidopsis thaliana (thale cress). Lineage: Eukaryota; Viridiplantae; Streptophyta; Magnoliopsida; Brassicales; Brassicaceae. The record is from RNAcentral.